GAAGGGUACAGAUGAUGGAUGAAGUGACGUGGCCUGGAUUUGGUGCUGUGUGCACUUGGUCAGCCUUCUGGUUGGGAACACCUUUCACUGACGGGACAUAACAACAAUGUGGAAGGGGAGGAGGAAGCAUCUAUUGAACACUUCCUCUAUUCUGGCGUUUUGAAUGGACAAAGAAGUUGGAAAGAAGAAAAAAGGUAACUAGCUCAUUAUGGCAAUUUUGCACUAUUUUCAGCAGGCAGACUUUAAGGUGAGUUGCAUAUUCAUUACUGGAAUAUUAGAAAAAGCCUUUCUACUUCCUUUUUUCCUUACCUAUUUAAAAUUCUGAUUUGAUUUUUUCAAACACAGCGGUCUGAAGAAUAUGAAUCUUGAAGGGAUGGGGAGAAGGAUCAAAAGUCAGUAUUUGUGCUGUUUAUACAGUAUUCCAGCCACUGCUGUGCUGCACUCAGUUUGAAGGGUUUGAAGCAGGGGAGUGUCAUGUUAGAUUUGCAUUUUCCAAAGAUCACUGGCUACAGACUACAUGCGGAUUGUGGAAUGGGAAGAAUAGACAACAGAAGACCAGUCCUUUGACUAUUGCAGAAGUUCUGGUGGGGGAUUAUGGGAGCUUGAACCAAGGCAUUAGCAGAAGAAAUGAUAAGGACUGGCUAGAACCACAUCUGAACUGACUGGUUUCCCAUGAAACACACUUCCUUUAAGGAGCUUAUAAUGUAAUUGAAGAGGCAACUCAUAUGUAUAAAAUCACAGAAACAGUGUAUAAUUAGGAAGUAAAACGAAUAGUUCAAACUCUGAGGGACACAGCACUUGAGAGCAAGACAUGGGUCAGAACUCUAAUGGUUGGGAUUUGGAGAGAGAGGCCAGAGCAAAAGAGGUAGCAAAAGGCAGACAAUAAAGGAGGGGCCCUAUACAGCAGAAAUGGCACAUUGCGGGGGAGGGGGAAGAACAAAUCUCAUUAGAUAAGGUCAAAUUAUGAGACCUUAACAAGACAGAGUUUGAUGUGAGAUUAAAGAAUGAGUCAUUAAAAAUGUUUUACAUCAGACGGUUACAAGAUGAAAGCAAGGUUUAACAAAGUUUAGUUUUAACAAACUCUUGUGGUUAAUUAGACCAAGGAGCUCGCUGCCUGUGGGGUUGUUGAGUGGGGACAGGACUUGGUGGCAAUUAGUAAUGAGGACAAGGAAUUUAGUAUUAGGAACAUCCAACAGGUUGGAGAUGACUCAUUUUCUUUAGACAGACAAUGAGCUUGAAAUGAUGAUAAGUUUUCUAAUAAUAAAUGUUUAAAGGCAAUAUAGACUGGGUGGUUUUAUUCAUAGACUGGGUGGUUUUAUUAGUUGUGUUCCUCUGCAUUGCUUACAAUCCCAUCUUGUCUUUCUUCAUUAGUGUCCCCAAAGGCAUGUUUAUGAUUUGUGCAAAGGAAAAUUCUGCUUUCUGAAGCAGAACGAUAUACUCUGAUACAUUAUUUCAACUUCAUGUUAAGUAAUAUUUUGACAUAAUAAAAUUGA
Myotis lucifugus (little brown bat) is the source of this 1493-nucleotide long non-coding RNA. RefSeq lists it as uncharacterized. NCBI's taxonomy places the organism in Eukaryota, Metazoa, Chordata, Mammalia, Chiroptera, Vespertilionidae. The record is from RefSeq and is a predicted model, not a curated record. The transcript has 3 exons.